CCCAGACUCCUACGGGAGGCAGCAGUGGGGAAUAUUGCACAAUGGGGGAAACCCUGAUGCAGCGACGCCGCGUGAGUGAAGAAGUAUCUCGGUACGUAAAGCUCUAUCAGCAGGGAAGAAAAUGACGGUACCUGACUAAGAAGCCCCGGCUAACUACGUGCCAGCAGCCGCGGUAAUACGUAGGGGGCAAGCGUUAUCCGGAUUUACUGGGUGUAAAGGGAGCGUAGACGGUGAUGCAAGUCAGAAGUGAAAGCCCGGGGCUCAACUCCGGGACUGCUUUUGAAACUGUGUAACUGGAGUGCAGGAGAGGUAAGCGGAAUUCCUGGUGUAGCGGUGAAAUGCGUAGAUAUCAGGAGGAACACCAGUGGCGAAGGCGGCUUACUGGACUGUAACUGACGUUGAGGCUCGAAAGCGUGGGGAGCAAACAGGAUUAGAUACCCGGGUACU
This 447-nucleotide ribosomal RNA is filed under the name uncultured bacterium. RNAcentral describes it as "bacterial SSU rRNA". It matches the Rfam family "Bacterial small subunit ribosomal RNA", at positions 330 to 794 of the family's 1533-position model. The record is from RNAcentral.